GACAGAGGGUGCAAACGUUGUUUGGAAUUACUGGGCGUAAAGCGCGUGUAGGCUGCUCCGCAAGUCGGAUGUGAAAGCCCUGGGCUCAACCUAGGAAGUGCAUUCGAUACUGCAGAGCUUGAGUCCUGGAGAGGAAGGCGGAAUUCUCGGUGUAGAGGUGAAAUUCGUAGAUAUCGAGAGGAACACCGGUGGCGAAGGCGGCCUUCUGGACAGUGACUGACGCUGAGACGCGAAAGCGUGGGGAGCAAACAGG
RNAcentral lists this ribosomal RNA (253 nucleotides) under uncultured bacterium. RNAcentral describes it as "partial 16S ribosomal RNA". It matches the Rfam family "Bacterial small subunit ribosomal RNA", at positions 524 to 776 of the family's 1533-position model. The record is from RNAcentral.